Molecule: long non-coding RNA, 578 nt
Organism: Ipomoea nil (Japanese morning glory)
Lineage: Eukaryota; Viridiplantae; Streptophyta; Magnoliopsida; Solanales; Convolvulaceae
Exons: 3
Source: RefSeq, a predicted model, not a curated record
UUACCCGGAAUAUCUCACCCACACAUUUCUCUUCCUCACCAUCGCUCUCUCUCUCUGCAUCUAUCUAUCUAUUACCUCUAUGUCUCUAUAUUACUUGAUUUUCCAGAUUUGUGAUGCAAUCAUUGUUCAAGCAUCACAAAUUUGGCAAUCAUACUACCAUAAAUCUAAGCUAACAGUGAAGACGAAGGCUGCUACCAUCAUCGUUAAUGAGUAGCUUCAUACAUUCGAGCAUGAAGAAAGCUAAGUAUCUUCUACAUUGAUUUGUUUAAUUUCAGCCUAGAUUUCAUAUACAUGUUGUGUACUGAUACAAACAAACAAACAAAAAAAAAAGAUCUAUUGAAAAAUAGUCAUUAAGUACUAUUGAAAACUAAUAAUUGCUAUGGCUUAUUAAUGUCCGACUACUGUUUUGUAACAGUAUAUUUCCAGGGACCAAAUGGCUUAUUUGAAGGAGGUUCAAAUGGCUUGGCACUUGAAAUGUCAAGUAAGUGUUCUUAAACUUUAAAUUAAGUUAUGCUCUACAGUGUUAAGUUUAUGCAAUCCAUCCUCAGUUACGAAAGUAAGUUUUCCUAACCUGCUCA